This 452-nucleotide small RNA is filed under the name Arabidopsis thaliana (thale cress). RNAcentral's name for it is "ATSL265820". The record is from RNAcentral. Lineage: Eukaryota; Viridiplantae; Streptophyta; Magnoliopsida; Brassicales; Brassicaceae.
ACAUCCAUUUGUCAUCAUUUUAGCAUCAUAUCAUCACUGUUUUAUACCAUUUCUCAUCAUUUGUCAUCACUUUGCAUGUUUAGGAUAUGUUUGCAUGCAUGUUGCAUAUUUGUGUUGAUUUCAUGUGAUUUGGAGCUGUUGACGAGCUAACUGGAAGAAGCGGACCUGAUCAUGUCAAACCACUCGACCACGAGGUCGAGUAGAAGCUUCAAGACCUCAACAGACCACUCGACCCCCUGGUCGAGUAGGGGACUUCAUAAUUUCAUCUCGUUUUACGAUUUGAGUCGGCCUCGGCAUUUAACAGUGGUGAUGAAGAUACUCGACUUCAAGGUAGAGUGACGUGAUCGAGUGAUGGUCAGGUGGUGGAGGUGAAGACACUCGACCUCGAGGUCGAGUGAUGUGAUCGAGUGACGGUCAGGUGGUGGAGGUGACUACACCCGACCAGGGCCCAU